RNAcentral lists this unclassified non-coding RNA (258 nucleotides) under fungal sp. RNAcentral describes it as "partial contains 5.8S ribosomal RNA, internal transcribed spacer 2, and large subunit ribosomal RNA". Lineage: Eukaryota; Fungi. The record is from RNAcentral.
CGCACAUUGCGCCCCUCGGAAUUCCGGGGGGCAUGCCUGUUCGAGCGUCAUUGCACCCUUCAAGCGUCCGCUUGGUCUUGGGGCCGCCGCCCGCGAGGGCGCCCCCGAAAAACAGUGGCGGUCCGGUACGGCACCGAGCGCAGUGGAUUUAUUUAUUCGCUCCGUGCCCGUGUCUGCGGCUGGCCAAAUCAACCCCGGGGCAAACCCCCACAAUGACAAAUUGACCUCGGAUCAGGUAGGGAUACCCGCUGAACUUAA